GACGAACGCUGGCGGCGUGCUUAACACAUGCAAGUCGAACGGAAAGGCCCUGCUUUUGUGGGGUGCUCGAGUGGCGAACGGGUGAGUAACACGUGAGUAACCUGCCCUUGACUUUGGGAUAACUUCAGGAAACUGGGGCUAAUACCGGAUAGGAGCUCCUGCUGCAUGGUGGGGGUUGGAAAGUUUCGGCGGUUGGGGAUGGACUCGCGGCUUAUCAGCCUGUUGGUGGGGUAGUGGCUUACCAAGGCUUUGACGGGUAGCCGGCCUGAGAGGGUGACCAGCCACAUUGGGACUGAGAUACGGCCCAGACUCCUACGGGAGGCAGCAGUGGGGAAUAUUGCACAAUGGGCGGAAGCCUGAUGCAGCAACGCCGCGUGCGGGAUGACGGCCUUCGGGUUGUAAACCGCUUUCGCCUGUGACGAAGCGUGAGUGACGGUAAUGGGUAAAGAAGCACCGGCUAACUACGUG
This 468-nucleotide ribosomal RNA is filed under the name uncultured bacterium. RNAcentral's name for it is "partial 16S ribosomal RNA". It matches the Rfam family "Bacterial small subunit ribosomal RNA", at positions 28 to 507 of the family's 1533-position model. The record is from RNAcentral.